GUAUUUGUUAUGUUCUUGAAACCCAAAGGAUUUGGCGGUAUUUUAGUCUUUUCAGAGGAAUCUGUCCCUUAAUCGAUAAUCCACGAUUAUAAUUACUUAGUUUUGUUAGUUUUUAUACCUCCGUCAUAAGAAUAUCUUUUUAGAGUUAAUUUUCUUAAUAGUAAGAAGUUACUAUGUCAGGUCAAGGUGAAGCUUAUAAUUAAGUGGAGAUGGAUUACAAUAAAUUUUAUUUAUAUGGAUAUAAAGUGUUAUACUUUUUUGAAAGUGGAUUUGAUUGUAAAAUUUUUUGUUAAAAUUUUUGAUUUUAGCUCUAAAAUAUGCACACAUCGCCCG
Molecule: ribosomal RNA, 333 nt
Filed under: Coeliccia cyanomelas
Lineage: Eukaryota; Metazoa; Arthropoda; Insecta; Odonata; Platycnemididae
Description: partial 12S ribosomal RNA
Source: RNAcentral